CAGGGGCGGAUCUAGGGAUGAUCAGAGCGAUCACGCGACUAAGGUAAAAAUUGGCCAGGAAAUUGUUAAAUUAAAAUAGCAAUCCAGUUAUAAAACUUCGCGCAGUGUAUUGUAUUGAAAGUUUAAUAGUCCAGUUCUAAGAUAUCAUCCAGUAGCAAGGCCUUCGAACAUGAACGCGCAGAAAAGCGGUCUUACGCAUGAGUUUUGCACGCUCUGAGUCAGAUUCCAGCCAUCUGAUUGGCUAUCUCGAUUUUUGCGCGAUCUGUGGGGAGUUCUGAUCGCUAAAGCGAUCAGGGGCUCGAAUACAGGCUAUCUGAUUGGCUAAUUCAAAAAAAUUCUCAAUUCCCGUUGGCUGGAUUUUUUUGAUCGAUCAUACCGCUCAGGCUAAUAGUAUGCACGGAAAGGUCUAUGACGUUGCUGGUCUUUCUGAUCAAGCAGCACUAUUUAUGUAAAUUGACUGAAAUAUUAUGUAAAUUUCGUCUCCUAUUAUUAUACGCGUACCCGCCGAUUUUAUAGCAUGUGCGUUUUAUGGCAAUCGGAAAAUUUAUCAGAACUUCUAAACUAAUACUACCCAUGUCUGUUCGUAAUUACGAAACCGCAAAGGCUGCUUUAGAGAAUCUGAUCGACAAUAUAUGACUAAUAUGUAACCGAAGCGUUCCGUUAUAAAAGACUUAUUGAGCGCUGUGAACAACACAAGCUUCUUCCUCGCACCGCGAAAUUUUGGUGUGGAAUCUUACAUCCCGAAUUACGUCCGAGAGAAAACAAAAAAGUUUUGUACGGGCUUAAGGUAAAUAUAUUCUAUUUUAACUAGAUAUAGCAUUAUAGCUGUUGUAAGCUGUAGUGGAUUGCGCGCUGUAUGUAAUAAGAGACGAAAUUUACAUAAUAUUUCGGUCAAUUUACACAAUACUGCGGCUUAAUACAAGCAGUUUCAGUUUGUUUAUACUUUGUUUAUGCCUCUUGUGGAAUGUAGGCUUUAUAUAUUGAUCAGAUACUUAAUAAUACUGUAUUAUUUAUACCUAGUUGUCUAGUAUAUUAAAACUACAAGCACAUGACAAUGUGGCAUGGCUUUGUGUAAUACGAUCUCUACAACAUGUAUACAAUAAAAGUAAAAUGCAUCAUGUUGCCAUUGUGAAUACUUAUUCAUGGCAUACGUUUCUGCUACGAAUAAAACUCGAGAAGCAGUGAAUUAAACGUGGAAAUUCUCUUCCUGCGAAUUAACAAUCAAUCAAAUGUUUUAUAAAACUACAUCGCUAUAUUUGAAAAUCGUUUGACCAUUCAUGUAAAUUAAGGACACAAUAUGGAGUUAUGUGUUUCCCAGGCAUGCUGACGAGCCCUGAAUUGGGCGAAACAGUAAUUUUUCAUCUAACAUUUUUUCGUAAAACUGGAUAUAAAUUAAUUCGCUUUGCAAC
Paramuricea clavata is the source of this 1409-nucleotide non-coding RNA. The record is from the annotation of a GenBank genome assembly. Lineage: Eukaryota; Metazoa; Cnidaria; Anthozoa; Malacalcyonacea; Plexauridae.